UACGAAGGGAGCUAGCGUUGUUCGGAAUCACUGGGCGUAAAGCGCACGUAGGCGGAUGUGUCAGUCAGGGGUGAAAUCCCGGAGCUCAACUUCGGAACUGCCUUUGAUACAGCACGUCUUGAGUCCGAUAGAGGUGGGUGGAAUUCCUAGUGUAGAGGUGAAAUUCGUAGAUAUUAGGAAGAACACCGGUGGCGAAGGCGGCCCACUGGAGCGGUACUGACGCUGAGGUGCGAAAGCGUGGGGAGCAAACAGG
RNAcentral lists this ribosomal RNA (253 nucleotides) under uncultured bacterium. RNAcentral describes it as "partial 16S ribosomal RNA". It matches the Rfam family "Bacterial small subunit ribosomal RNA", at positions 524 to 776 of the family's 1533-position model. The record is from RNAcentral.